GCCGGGUGCUGGCAUAGAGGAGGAGAGGUGGCCAUAAAUUUCAGAGAAUCUUCCCAGCCUCCUCUAAUCCCAUGCCAAGAAAUAUGACAGAUUCUAGGCCCAGAGAGGCCAAGAAGAUGAAAACAUUUCUGGCACUUUCUAAAGUUUCUGUCCAGAAAAGCCAUCAGCUGAAGGGGCGCAGGAUGACAAAUGGCUGCCGGAUCUGCAGGUUCCGGGUUCUGAGACAGGAACCCUGCCACAUCAUGUAAACAAUCCCGGACUAGCCUGCUGGAGGAAGAUAGACUGUGGAACAGAAUUGAGUUCCACAAGGCUCCAGAGACAUGAGAGAACCCAACUGAGAUCAGCAGAGCAGCUACCUCACCCAUGGCUGACCACAGAUGUAUGAGUGUGUCCAGAAGAACUUUCUGGUGGCCCCAUAGGUUUGUGAACAAUAAUAAAUGCUUAUCAUUUUA
Homo sapiens (human) is the source of this 452-nucleotide long non-coding RNA. The record is from Ensembl. NCBI's taxonomy places the organism in Eukaryota, Metazoa, Chordata, Mammalia, Primates, Hominidae.